AAGUCUGACCGAGCAACGCCGCGUGAGUGAAGAAGGUUUUCGGAUCGUAAAACUCUGUCGUUAGAGAAGAACAAGGAUGAGAGUAAAACGUUCAUCCCUUGACGGUAUCUAACCAGAAAGCCACGGCUAACUACGUGCCAGCAGCCGCGGUAAUACGUAGGGGGCAAGCGUUAUCCGGAAUUACUGGGUGUAAAGGGUGAGUAGGCGGCAUGAUAAGUAAGAUGUGAAAGCCCGCAGCUUAACUGCGGGAUUGCAUUUUAAACUAUUGAGCUAGAGUACAGGAGAGGAAAGCGGAAUUCCCAGCGUAGCGGUGAAAUGCGUAGAUAUUGGGAAGAACACCAGUGGCGAAGGCGGCUUUCUGGACUGAAACUGACGCUGAGGCACGAAAGCGUGGGGAGCGAAC
RNAcentral lists this ribosomal RNA (403 nucleotides) under uncultured bacterium. RNAcentral's name for it is "bacterial SSU rRNA". It matches the Rfam family "Bacterial small subunit ribosomal RNA", at positions 379 to 773 of the family's 1533-position model. The record is from RNAcentral.